GAAGAUAUAGCUCAGUGGUAGAGUAUAUGCCUAGCAUGCACAAGGUCCUAGGUUCAAUCCCCAGUAGUUCCA
Molecule: transfer RNA, 72 nt
Filed under: Camelus bactrianus (Bactrian camel)
Lineage: Eukaryota; Metazoa; Chordata; Mammalia; Artiodactyla; Camelidae
Also listed under: 2 other names
Rfam family: tRNA
About the family: Transfer RNA (tRNA) molecules are approximately 80 nucleotides in length. Their secondary structure includes four short double-helical elements and three loops (D, anti-codon, and T loops). Further hydrogen bonds mediate the characteristic L-shaped molecular structure. tRNAs have two regions of fundamental functional importance: the anti-codon, which is responsible for specific mRNA codon recognition, and the 3' end, to which the tRNAs corresponding amino acid is attached (by aminoacyl-tRNA synthetases). tRNAs cope with the degeneracy of the genetic code in two manners: having more than one tRNA (with a specific anti-codon) for a particular amino acid; and 'wobble' base-pairing, i.e. permitting non-standard base-pairing at the 3rd anti-codon position.
Source: Rfam by way of RNAcentral